Molecule: ribosomal RNA, 375 nt
Filed under: uncultured eukaryote
Lineage: Eukaryota
Description: partial 18S ribosomal RNA
Rfam family: Eukaryotic small subunit ribosomal RNA
Source: RNAcentral
CAAUAGCGUAUAUUUAAGUUGUUGCAGUUAAAAAGCUCGUAGUUGGAUUUCGGUUAAGAGCGACCGGUCCGCCGUUUGGUGUGCACUGGUUGGUUUUAACUUCCUGUAGAGGACGUGCUCUGGGUUUAACGACCUGGACUCGGAGUCUACGUGGUUACUUUGAAAAAAUUAGAGUGUUCAAAGCGGGCUUGCGCUUGAAUAUUUCAGCAUGGAAUAACACUAUAGGACUCCUGUCCUAUUUCGUUGGUCUCGGGACGGGAGUAAUGAUUAAGAGGAACAGUUGGGGGCAUUCGUAUUUCAUUGUCAGAGGUGAAAUUCUUGGAUUUAUGAAAGACGAACUUCUGCGAAAGCAUUUGCCAAGGAUGUUUUCAUUAA